RNAcentral lists this ribosomal RNA (253 nucleotides) under uncultured bacterium. RNAcentral's name for it is "partial 16S ribosomal RNA". It matches the Rfam family "Bacterial small subunit ribosomal RNA", at positions 524 to 776 of the family's 1533-position model. The record is from RNAcentral.
UACAGAGGUCUCAAGCGUUGUUCGGAUUCAUUGGGCGUAAAGGGUGUGUAGGUGGCGCGCUAAGUCGGGUGUGAAAUUUCGGAGCUUAACUGCGAAACUGCAUUCGAUACUGGCGUGCUUGAGGACUGGAGAGGAGACUGGAAUUCAUGGUGUAGCAGUGAAAUGCGUAGAGAUCAUGAGGAAGACCAGUGGCGAAGGCGGGUCUCUGGACAGUUCCUGACACUGAGACACGAAGGCCAGGGGAGCAAACGGG